Molecule: non-coding RNA, 146 nt
Organism: Caenorhabditis elegans
Lineage: Eukaryota; Metazoa; Nematoda; Chromadorea; Rhabditida; Rhabditidae
Source: Ensembl
UCUCACCCGGGGGUCUUGUUUGAUGCGUAUGUUCAUGUUUCGAAUGACCCUGUCAUCGUUGGUCAUGUGAUCAAUCGAUGACAUCACUCCACCACCAUUGAGUGCCUAGAGAAAACAAAACGUAAAACUAUUAUUUCUAAUUAAGA